AGUGAACGCUGGCGGUGGGCCUAACACAUGCAAGUCGAACGGCAGCACAGGAGAGCUUGCUCUCGGGGUGGCGAGUGGCGGACGGGUGAGGAAUCCAUCGGAAUCUACUUUUUCUUGGGGGAUAACGUAGGGAAACUUACGCUAAUACCGCAUACGACCGACGGGGGAAAGCAGGGGACCUUCGGGCCUUGCUCUAUUGAAUUAGCCGAUGUCGGAUUAGGUAGUUGGAGGGGUAAAGGCCCACCAAGGCGACGAUCCGUAGCUGGUCUGGGAGGAUGAUCAGCCACACUGGAAAUGAGACACGGUCCAGACUCCUACGGGAGGCAGCAGUGGGGAAUAUUGGACAAUGGGCGCAAGCCUGAUCCAGCCAUACCGCGUGGGUGAAGAAGGCCUUCGGGUUGUAAAGCCCUUUGGUUGGGAAGGAAAUCCAGCUGGCUAAUACCCGGUUGGGAUGACGGUACCCAAAGAAUAAGCACCGGCUAACUUCGUGCCAGCCGCCGCGGUAA
Molecule: ribosomal RNA, 506 nt
Filed under: uncultured bacterium
Lineage: Bacteria
Description: partial 16S ribosomal RNA
Rfam family: Bacterial small subunit ribosomal RNA
Source: RNAcentral